Molecule: small RNA, 106 nt
Filed under: Marmota monax (woodchuck)
Lineage: Eukaryota; Metazoa; Chordata; Mammalia; Rodentia; Sciuridae
Source: RNAcentral
GCCAGGUGUGGUGGCACACACCUGUAAUUCCAGUGACCUGGAAGGCUAAGGCAGGAGGAUCAUGAGUUCAAAGCCAGCCUCAGCAACUUAUCAGACCCUGUCUCAA